Long non-coding RNA from Astatotilapia calliptera (eastern happy), 1071 nucleotides. The record is from Ensembl. NCBI's taxonomy places the organism in Eukaryota, Metazoa, Chordata, Actinopteri, Cichliformes, Cichlidae.
ACACUAAAAUGAAAAGAAGCUAAACGUAGGCAGUUGUUCUUAAAAUCACAUUGAGUCAAAGCUGCCUCGGGAUAUGGGAAUCGCUCCUCUGUCAAACUUUCAUUAGCUGAUGUGAGUGCAUACAGUGACGAAGGCAGGAUUUUGUUUAGCGUUGUUUAUUUCCCCUUUUCAUCACUGCUGCUUUCAUUCUAAGGCUGGUGUAAAUUCAUUCACACUGAUCUGAUGAGUCAGACAUGGGAUUCACACCGAGGUGGCUGUAGCGUGCAGCGGGGCGGAGCAGGCGGCUGAGAUUAACUCAUUCUUUCGCCUCCUCUUUAUCUCUCACUUUCCUAUUUGCUGGAAGUGAUUGUUUCUGUGUGAAUUAUCCUCAUACUCGUUUAAUAGCAUGGAAAUUGAUUAAGCAAUUAGCGGCGAGCCACUGUAUUUAGAUCAAAGCAGAUCAUCGCAUUAAGUUGGGAGAGAUUAAUACUGCCCAGGGCCUCACUGGAAAUAACAGCUGCAGUAAUGGCAUCACGGUAACGCUCCAGCUCCUGACUGCAGGACUCAUUUGCCUUUUUAACUCCAAACCUUUUUUUUUUUUUAGUUUUAUUGCCGUUUUUAUAACUUAUGGAACAGAUUAUGUGCAGGAAACAACUCAGAUGGCUUGUAACGUGCUAAACCUCUCUGCUUUAUAGCCAGGGCCAUCCGUUUUAAAGUGCAGGUUGAGUAGAAAUACUGUAUAGCAUCGAUCUAUUCAGAAAGCCUUUAACACAAGGUAAUCGCAUUGAGAGGUGUUCGUUUGAGCUGCUUCACUCGGCGCCGUCACGUUUAUGACACAAAGUUCGAGGUGUCAGCGUGUCCUCAACAUUAUGACACUGCUGGGCUAAACUCACUGUAAACGACUCAUGAGCAGUUUGAACAUAAAGCCUCUAAAGAACUAUCACACCGCAGGACGACCGCACUCUUUAUUAAUGGGGCUUUUUAGUCACUGCGUUCUUGACGAGUCUGUGAGUGACGCAUGCAGCUGUAAUCAAACACACAUCACUUCAUAAAAUCUAGUGUUUGCAUCAAUCGUCAUCUUUGAAUUUUGCA